CUCGUUUAAUUAAAUUAUUAUCCGUUUAGUAUCUGUAUGGAUUGUUAAUAUGUUCUACUUUCGUUCUUGAUUUAUGUCUGGUGUUAAUUUAUCUAUUGGGAGGAAUGUACAUUUUCAUUUUAUAUUCCUGAAGACAACUUUGAGUUGUAAGUAAGCAGUCCCUGCAAAUGAAUUCUAUGAUCAAACUAAAAGUCAGGAUGACGAAAUGAACUGCAUUAGAAACCUGAUAAAUUCUGUAACGUAUGUUAAAAAAAAAAGGAAAGGCAUGUUCACACGUGAGAGAGAGAGAGAGAGAGAGAGGGGAAGCUGUCAAAUCGACCCGCAAAACCGGACCCAACCCCGCAAACCCGACCCGCCCACUGUUUCCGUUUCCGACCACCCCACCGGCCAAGGGAGGUAUCGAUCGAAAUACCUUGAGCCGCUGGUUAUUUUUCCCUCGUCAUUUCCAUCGGAAAAACAGCCAAAAAGCCACCGAUCGAAGCCGUGAAGAACCGCGGAAUCGCCGCCUCUGUUCGCCACGAUUUGGCUGGUUUCCGGCCACGCCAACGGCUGGUUUUUACUCCUCACACCACCACCUUUCAUUUCCGACUAUCCACAUUCACCGGCAGCCACCGAUUUGCUGCCGGCCAAUUGUUGAGGUGCUCACGGCUGUCGAGCUACAUUCCGACGCCGUCGCCGCGUGUCAGAGCACAUCGACGCAACCGCUGGAUUCAGCAAGGCACGAACCUUCUAUCCCGUCCUUUCCGGUCACCGUCGCAUGAGUUCCGGUUACCGUUGAAUUUGAGGGUAAUUUCAUAAAUUUUUAAUUUUGUGAGUAUUUCAAUAAUUUCUAAUUUGGAAGAUAAAAUUUGAGGAUAAUUUGAUAAAUUAUGAUUUCGAGGAUAAUUUGGUAACUUGUGAUUUGGAGAUUUCAGGGGCAAUUGAGAUUAUGUUUAGGUGUUUAUAAUGAGAAAUUUGAGGACAUUGAAAUUAUGAUUAUGACUUGAUUUUAUCUUAUGAGGAUUUUCUUAUUUGUUUUAGGUCGAUGAUAUCUAUUUGCAUUUGUUACUUGAGGAUAUCAUAAGGUAAGUAAAUUAGAUUUUUAAAUGAAUUAUGAUAAAUAAUAUGUAUAUGUUUGACAUAUUUAAAAAGUAUAUUUUGAUAUGUACGGAUAUAGACUUGUAUGUUUGUCCACGUGUUUAUGUGAUGUGUUAAUAUGGUGUGUUGUUAUGUGUUAUGUGUGUUUAUGGACAUGGGCAUUUGUAUGUGUGAAUAUCUAUUAACAUUAGCACGAAAAUGCAUUAUGUUUCCUAUGAAUGAGAAAGUAGAUUUUUGCCAAACGAAAUUUGAAAAAAGAAAGUGAGUUUUACAAUUUUUGGCUUGGAUGCUUGAAUUCGUUACUCGCUUUGUAACAUCCUAGUCCAAAUUCUGAGGGUAAAUUUGUCCAUAACUCACAUAUGAAUUUAAAAAAAAAAAAAAAGAACUCUUUACAACUGAUAUCUCCUUACAAUCGAUAAUAAGUCAAACUUCAAAUAUAAGAGGCAACGAAAUUAUUUAAAAAUUUGACCAAACCAUCUAUCAUUCUCAAUUCAAGUCCUCUUCGCACAUAAAUCAAUUCUAAUUUCUAAAAAUUGAAUCACAAUAAACUAUAAUUAGUAGAAAACUCAAUAAGCAAAUUAAUUUUUUCUAUACAAAAAUACAUACAUACUUAUACAUAAUGCAAUAGAUGAUAUGUCAUGAUCUUUUCAAAAGUACUUGAAACAAAUUCAUAAAAGUCUAUUUUUGUCGCUUUUAAACUUUUUCAUUUUCUUUCAAUAAAAUAUAUAUUUUGUAAUUGUGGCACUUUGCCCUAUGCGUGGCAUUUUUUACUAUACGUGGCACUUUGCGGCUCUCUAGCCCUCAAGACAUGACCCCUGUAUAGUCUCAAGAGGUUGCCCUCAAUACAAAAUCUCAUAAAGCAGAAAUUUUGUUUGUUAAAAUCCAUUUUCUCACUCAUAGAAAACUUAAUGCAUUUUCGUGCUUAUGCCAAUGAAAUUUCACACAUACAUAUGCACAUGUACGUAAUCACGCUCAACACAUAAUAACACAUCACAUAAACACAUGGGCAGAGACAUAUAAAUUCACAUUAGUACGUAUCAAAUAUAGGUUUUUCACACAAAUCAAACAUAUAUAUUGUUUAUUGUGAUUCGUUUUGAAGUCUAGUUUACUUAUCUCUUGACAUCAUCAUGUAACAAAUGCGUACUGAUAUCAUCAACCUAAAGUCAUCAACAAAAUUCUCAUAAGAUAUAAUCAAGUCUCAAUUAUAAACUCUAAUAUCCUCAACUAUCUCAAUUUAAACAUCUCAUAAGCUCAACCUCAAAUGUCCUCAAUAAUCGGCCCUCAAAACAUAACAUGUCAUAUUCUCCGAUUUUUAAUAAAUUAUUACCUCAUUGGAAAAAUCUCAAAUUUUAUAGACCAUAAGUUGACAUAUUGAAAGUUCAUUGCUAAAAAUUUCAUAGUUUAAUUCCUUAAAAAACUAUUGAAAAUAAUUGACGUUCCAGACAUCAUCAAUGUUAUCAAACAAUUUUUUGUUUUGAACACACUUGCUUUAAAACUAAAAAAUAAUUUUUUUCUUUAUCAUAAAAUCGUGAAAAUUUAUAGAAUCAUACUAGACAUAUAUAAAAAUCAUUGAUCCAAAUUUCAUAAUUUUUGAAAAAGUAUAGCUAUGGUAAAAAUAAUUUUGUAAUUCACGUUAUUCACUUAAAUAAAAAAUUUUCAGGUUUUCAAACUUGAAUUUGAAAAAUCGUAAUUAAUUGAAAUCUUAUCCGAUUAACUUGAAACAAGUUUCAAAACAUUCUAAACGAUGUCUAGUUUAACAUAUCCAAAAAUCAAAAUCAAAAUCAAAAUCAAUUUUUACAAAUUACUAUGAUUUUCAUAAUAAUUCACUGUCAGCAUAUUUCUGCCAAAUCUUAGGUUUCUACUUCUAGUGCAAUCAUGAUUCUCCACAACAAAUUAAUAAAAACCAUAAAUUAAAACUUACCUCCAAAUCCAAAUCUUCUCUCAACAAUACCCAAUUCAAAUUAUGCAAUUUGAUCUCAUGUAUUGCUCAUGGCAGAAUAAAGAAUAAGACUUUCUUCUUCUCUUUUUAUUUUCUUUUCUUUCUUUUCUCUCCAUCUUUUUUUUUUUCCUAUCUGUCGUAUUUUUUUUUCUUAGCCAAUUUCGCUUUCUCUCUCUCUCCUAAUGGAAAGACAUCUUGUUCUAUUUAUACUAGGGUAGAAAUGAUCACUAAAAACUAAAAAGACUUAAAUACCCUUAAGAGAAUUGGGAUAUUACAUGCUUAGUGGAGGACACUCUGUAUGUUAUGUUGUGUGGGCGAGGGACGUGUUUACGUGGAUUUAUGAAAGUUAAGUGAGCAUCGUACUAAGCGGUAAUUGAAUUAAUGUAGCUCAAGUGAUCUGAAAGAAAAUGCGAAAGUUUGAAAAUGACAAAAUAAGAUUUUGAUGAUUCGUUUUAUAAUAUUUUCGAAUACCGUGGCACGUCAUCCAUUUGCAUUAUAUAUAUGUAUGUAUGUAUUUUGAUAUAUGAAAAAUUGAUUUGUUUACUGAGUUUUGUACGUAUUAUAGUUUAUUAUGAUUCAGUUUUCAGAAAUCAGGUUUGAUUUAUGAUGAGUGACGAGAAAGACCUGAAUUGAGGAAGUAUGUGGUUUGGCAUAAUUAUCCUUAGGUUCUUCCACUGCAGUUUAAGGUUGCGUUUUGAGGCUUAAAUUGUCGUUAAUAAUUAUAUUCGACGAGCGAGUUCUUAUUGAUUUUAUAGAGAUUUUAAAGUAUAUAUUUGAAUUGCAGUUAGAUUCACCCUGUGGAGUUCGGGCGGGUCGUUUCAAAUUCAGCCAUUCCGGAUCCGGAGGUAAAGGGUGGGUUAAGACGGCCCAUGGGGAAGUCAUAUUCUGGGCAAAGAUAGAGAGUUAUUGGGGUUUGGCACACUGAAUUUAAAUCAUAUAAAAGCCCAUCACUAAAGCUCAAGGUAAGAAAUGCUGAUCGAUUUGAUUUCAAGACUGCAACUGGGGAAGCUACAAUUGAGAUUAAUCUGAAGUUGCGAAGAAUAGUUUCGGAGAUUCAGGUAUUUGCUGCUUUUUGCUUCAACUUUUAUCACUUAACCUGCUAUCCUUGUAUAUGAUUACAUAGUGCUUGAAAUUCUCUCUGUUCCAUCAUAAUGUUAAUGCAUCUUUGAUCUUCACACUUUACUGUAAUUUUAAUGAGUCCCGAUCCAGUCACAGGUGGUGGGUGUUCAUUGGCGGAGCUGCGGACCCCACAACACAGCUCCACCAAUGACAAAUCGCCAUGGGCGCGCACAUGAUCGAAAUGCUAAUUGAACAUAUUAUCUGCAAGAACCCUGUUUAGUGUUCUAUUAGCUUUGUUUCGUCUGUCAUUAACAUGCGCUUAUUACCUUUUAUUUCAAUCGUCAGGAUGGGAAGAUUGAUACUGAUUCCGUCUACAGUGGGUUUAAAGACAACCUGAGGUUAAUGUGGGAUCAUUUCUUGUCAUGCGAGCAGCUUUUGACAUGAACAACAGAUUGCAAGCUCUCCCCUACUCUGGGUUGAUGUUUGCAUUUGGGUGCAUCCUGUACUUGCUGCUGUGGAAAGAUGUAAAUAGGAUGAUGUUUGUGUCAAAUGGUUUUUUGCUAAUUAUGUGUGCACUUUUAUUAAAUCUUUGCUGGAGUAGUUCUCAUUCUGAACUUCAAAUUUUGUCCAGUUUCGGCCUCAUUUUUUUUUCUCGUGUUUUACCUUUUCAUGUGUGAAUAAAUAUCAACAACUAGUACAAAUUUGUAAGACUAAGACCUGUCUUUCAAAAUUAAUGACAUUGCUUGAAUCACUUGGGAUCCACUUGCAGAUCUAUUUUGAAGAAAAGUUUUCUCCCCAACCUUAAUCGGUAAUGCAUUAUGAUUCUCUCCUUAUUUUUUUUUCUUUUUUCUUUUAGUCUCAUUUUAUUUUUUAAAUUUAGAUUAAAAAAAUCAAUUUAAUAACAAAUAAAAUAAAAGAAACUGGUUUAAUUGUUAAUAUCAGAAUUUAAAAUUUAAUUUUGAUUUUUUUUUUAAUGAUGGUGAUCGUUUAGUCCAUAAGGAGCGAUCAAGAGUAACAAAAAAAGAUUAUUGUCUGUCAGUAAUAUGGUAAUUUAUAGAAAGGUCCCUGAUGAUGUCCGGUUAAAAUUUAAUUAAAUUAGUAAAUUAGAGAAUUAGUUAAUUUUUUCACAUAUUACAUUAAAGUGGAGUCUCGCUGCGAGCAAAAGAGAUGCCUUUUACAAAGCAAGAAAAGAAAACACAAAAAGCACACUUCAAAACUUGUGCAAGAAGGAGAUAUGUAUAUUGAUACAUGUAUAUAUACCCACGUCUGAGGAUCAGCUGAACCAACACCCAACACUAGGAAGCAAUUUUAAAAUUUUUGGUUAGUAUUGUUAUUUACAUCUUAUCAAUUUUUGUUCAAUUUAUUAUAUUUUUACUACAGCUUUGUUUCAGGGUACUUGUCAUGUGAAUUUCUCUGAUGAUUUUGGUGGGUUCUUUUCAGCUUUUAUUUCACUGUCUCCACUGGUUAGCUUAGCUACUGUCUACUGAGAUAAAAUCAUUUGCUAGAAUAACUUAAUCUUUUGCUAUUUUGUUAUAUUCAUUUUAUACAGAAUUAAAUCAUUGUAUCAAAUGUUUGUUUUAGCUCUGAUCUUGCGUUACUGAAACGUUUCAUUCAUUUUUCCCAAGCACUUUGGUUGCUAGUUUAUCGGGCAGUACUGCGAUAGUGAUUUCAAUUUACAAAAUUCUGUAAAUACUUAUUAUUCUUAGUGUCGUUUAAGGUAGUGUGAAGUUAAUAUUAUCACAAUGGCUUACAUUCCACCAAAUUUGAGGCGUUCGAAGGACCCCCAGAGGCCCUCUCCAGUUCCGGAGAUGCUUGAGCCUAUAUUCAACAGAAAAUUAAAAUUGGGAUCAUCCAAGCAUGACGCAGGCGCGAGUACAAAUUGCAUCGAGUAUGGAGACCAUGCCGUACACAGAUCGUUUGUCUGUGGCUUGGAUAAUAAUAAAAGCAUUUCUUCUGACCAUUUCGAGGAGGUUCCAGAGGAGCCUGAUGAGCAAAAAAGAUCAGUGACCAUUAAUCUGGCCACAGGUUAGUGGUCGGCAUUUUUAGUUUUAUUUUAGAUAUGUUCUACUUUCGUUCUUGAUUUAUGUCGGGUGUUAACUUUAGUUAUGUUGACAUUUUUGGUUGGUAGAUAAUGAUAAAGCGUGUGCAAAUACAUCAAGAAGCCCCUGGGAAUCGAUAGCAGCAAAUGUAUGGCCAGAUGUAUUGAGUGCUUGUAACAUUGUCAAGAACGAAAUGGAGGAAAAGCCAAAAAUGGUUGCUAGAUUUGGCAAUAUUCUUUUCGAUGAGUAUGUGAUCUGGUUCCAUUGGUGUUCCAGCUUGAAUGUUUUUAGUUUGAUCAUUCCAUUCCUUUCUUUUGGCUUUGAAAUUGUAGCAACGAAUAUGCAUAUUCACACUGAAAUCUGACAGAAAUUUUGCGGUCAUAUAAGUACCGGCAGCUAAAAUUACGAAGUUUACCAUUAACGCUAGUGCCAUCAACGGAUGACAGUAAAUCGGAUCUCCAAACCAGGGAUACAAGUUAACAUUGCUUGUAAAAGCUAAAGAAGAAAAGAUUUAUUAAAAAAAUAAUAAUAAUAAAUAAAGGGAAAAGAAAUGACAAGAUCAAUGAUUUAUAGUGCAUGCACUUCUUGAGACUUGUUGUAUCUCAAGGAAGCUUCCAUGGCAUCUAGAAUUUGGCUUUGGCUUCUUGUAGGCACAUUUCAGUAGUUGCUGCUGGAAACAAAUGUAUCCAUUGUCUUAGUACUGCUACAUUUCUGGUGCGAGAAACAAAUCAAUCUGUUGCCAUGGCCAGGUUUUAUUGUUUGAUGUUUCAUUGGGACAGCAAACUAAACCAUUGCUUGGCCUAUUUCUUAGAAUAAAAAUGAUACUAUGUGUAUCACAUAUUUCCAUUCUUCUAUCACGUCUUUGAAACUGCUAUUAGUUUUCUUAUCAAGGUGCCUCAAAGAAAUAAUUAUUAUAUAAUUCAUCUUGACGCAGGAACGAUUUACUGAGCUUAGAAAGUGCAAGCGAACAUCAAGUUGCUGAAACCGCUUUUAAGGCAAUGAGGACCUGCUUUGACACAGGUGUCCCUGCUACAUACAUGGAAAACAUUGUACAUAAAGUUGUGCCAAAAAUUGGGGUUGAUUUUGUACAGGACAAGGAUAUAUACCAUGUACAGGUAGUUCUUCUGCUAAACACUUAUAUAUUCACGAUCAAGUUUCUUUUAUCUCUCACUUAAUUUGGCCAUUAAUUGUUUUCCCCUUCUUGUCUAGUUGUGUGACGGCACACGACAAAUUUUGUGCAAAUGUACUGUUAAAGAAGAUAAAAAGCUUGAGCUCUAUAAGGCAAGUUUUAUGCAUUUGGCUAACUGUUAUUUAAAUCUUGUGUGUGUUGCCUGUAUUUUAAGGAGACUUUUUGCUUGUUCAAACAUCGCAACAAGACUUCUGAUGUAUUGAAUUGAAUAGAUGAGGGUCUGAAUAUAAUCUUUUCACUGUGAUUAUAAAGGAGGUACCAAAAUAAAAGCGAUAAACAUUAAGAAUGAGAUGAAACCUUUAUGCCUCACUAAGACUUUUUAGAAGUCUCUGCAGGAAUAAUCUCAAUUUUGAGGAAAAGAGUUUAAAAUGAAGAAGAAAAUUCUCAAUGAGUAAGACUAAUUCUACUUCUGAUUGAGGAAGAGGCUUGUUAAUUCGAUAAGGAAAGAUCUAGUUAGUAUUAUGAACCAAUUAAAAUUUGAAUUACGUUAGUUUACCUGUAAUUGAAUGUCUAAACCAACAAACUAUGUAUUACAUUACAGUUGCGAAUAUAAAAUUAUAAAAAUACUGCUGAUUAUGGACCAAAUUGAAUAUGCCAAUCUUUAGGAACUCCUUUCAGCAUCAUGGAUUUAGAUUUCAGUAAUCUUUUUUAUUUGACUAUGGUGACAUCCCGAAGACCUGAACUAUCCAGUAUCUGAUGGUAGUCAUUUUUUAUUUAUUUAUUGUUGCAUUCUCGUCUUGAAUAUGAACAUUUUUCUUGUAGGUCCAACUAAACCAAGUUCGUCACAUGGUAGCUGAUAUAUUCUGUUUUGAUGAAAAUCUAGAUUUGAGGUUGGCACUAUAUACAAGAAGUACCUUAUUUGCUCUCCCUGUGAGUUCAUCUGCUACUUUGCGCUUGUUUUACCUAGACUUUUAAGUUACCCCUUCAUUUUUUACUCUUUUUGUUUUAUUUGGUUAUUGCUCAUUAGAAUCCUCAUCGAUACAGAUGGUGGGGAAUAAAAAUUCAAGACCAGGGUAAAUGAGGAAAUCUAAAACUUAUAGCUGUGUUUUCAUCAUCAAAAGUUUACUUUCGAAGGGUUGAGAAAAACAAAUAUAUGACGAGCUUAAACGGUCAAACUUUAGUCAUGCAUUGCCCUUUCCUUGAAAUCAGAAACCUUACAAAUGUUAAAAAUAAAAUAAUAAAUAAAUCAUUAGAUUUUCAAAAUUAGUUGCCAUCAAUUAGAAUUAAAACAAAAGUUAAAUAUAAGGUUUUUCUUGUUGUUGGGGUGCGUAUGUGUGUUCUCGAUCUGUUGUGAGGAAUGUACAUUUUUAUUUUAUAUUGCUGGAAACAAUCUUGAGUUAUAAGCCAAAAAUGUGUAUUUACCAUAUCUUAUAUUUUCUAUGUAGGCCUAGCAAAUGAAUUCCAUGAUGAAACUGAAAUUGUAAAAUUUGCAGGAUGAUGACAUGAGCAGCAUUAGAAUUCUGAUUAAUUCAGCCAUCCCGGAUCCGAAGGUAAAGGGUGGUUUAAGAUGGCCCGUGGGCAAGUCAUAUUCCGGGAAUUACACAGUUGUUGGGGUUUGGCACAAUGAAUUUAAGUCAUAUAAAAGCCCAUCACUAAAGCUCAAGGUAAGAAAUGUUGAUCGAUUUCUUUUCAAGGCUGGAACUGGGGUAGCUACAAUCGAGAUUAAUCUAAAGUUCAGAAGAAUAAUUUCGGACAUUCAGGUAUUUGCUGCUUUUUGUUUUAACUUUAUCACGUGACCUGCUAUCUUUGUGUAUGAAUAUAUAGAGCUUGAAAUUCUUGCUGUUACAUCAUAAGGUUAAUGCAUAUAUCUUCACACAUUUCUUAUUGAGGUUUUAUUUUGAGCUAUAAUUAUAAUUUUCAAUUUUUACUAUUUAAUGGGUAUUUUCUUGUAGAUUGCUGUACCCAAAAAAAAAAAAAAAUUUGAUCAAGAGUAUUUUUAACGGUGAAAUAGCAAGAUUCUAAUGUAUAAUCUUCAUGAACUCGUUUUAGUUGUUAUACAGUUGUCCCUCUCUGUUAGUUUAUUUAUUCUGUCGUAACUCGCAAGUAACAAAUGACUUUUUAGCUAUUGCCUAAACUGGAGUAAAUGUGAUUUCAAAACUGAGCUUCCAGCUUAUGACUUAGAAGUCUUAUGUGUGUGUCUUGCACUUUGGUUUUACAAUCACCAUUGGAAGAGGAGCUAGAGUUUGUUAAUUGCUUCAGUCCCAGGAUUAGUGUUUUGAAACAUAAAUAUGUUUCAUGAUUGUUAUUGCUCACUAUUUCCUAUGGCUUUGUCCCCAUGAUCAUACAAAAUUAGUUUUGUAUUUGGUAUCUUUCAUGUUUCAUUAACAUGUUCUUAUUACUUUUCUCUUUUAAUCGUCAGGACGGGGAGAUUGAUCCCGAUUCCAUCUACAAUGGGUUUAAAGACAAGUUGAGGUUAAUAUGGGACCAUUUCUUGUCAUGGGAAGAUUGAUACUGAUUCCAUCUACAGUGGGUUUUAAAGCCAACUUGAGGCUAAUAUGGGAUCAUUUCUUGUCAUGCGAGUAACCUUGGACAUAAACAGCUCUCCUUCUACUUCGUUCGUAUUUGCAUGCGUGUGCAUUAUGUACUUAUUGCUAUUGAAAGAUGUAAAUGCAAGAACGAGAUCACGUUCAUAUCGAAUGGAUAAAUGUUUUUGCUAAAAUGUAUAGACUUGUAUAAGUCGUUGCUUGAGUUCCUAAAUUCUCAUUCUGAUCCAGUUUUUACCUCAGUUUUUUCCCGUAUAAUAGUUGUAUUUGGUAUAAGUUUGGCACUUCAAGUGUAGAGUGUUUUAUAUUUUCCAUGUGUGGAAUGUAUAUUAACAGCUUGUAACUAUAGAGUUUGAUUUUAUUUCUAAGACCCGUCUUUCAAAAUUUAUCCAGUGACAUACUUGAAUCACUUGGGAUCCACUGGCAAAUGUAUAUUGAAGAACAAUUUUCUCCCUGCCUCUUAUGUAAUCGCGCCCACUAAUAAUAUGGUAAUUUGUUAGAAGGUCCUUGAUGUCUGGUUAAAAUUUAUUUAGAUUAGUAAACUCAUCCAAAACGGUCUCACUUUCAAUUUUUAUUUUGAAAGUGUAUUUUUAAAGAUUCAAUCGGCAUUCUGCAUGUCAGUGCUUUUUUUGUUUUUUUAACUUUUACUUUUAAACUAUUGGUUAGAAGGCAAACAAUUCACAUUAAAGUGGAGCCUCCUUGGGACUAAAGGUAAUGCCUUUCCCAAAGCAAGAAAAGAAAACCCCCCAUGUCCAAUUAGCAUUGAUUGAGUUUAUUAAUUUGACUUGGGGCUUGUUUCGAUCUUCUUCUUCUCCUUCUUCCACUUCCUCUUCUUCAAAGUUCAAUUAUUGCAUCCUCUAAAAUGACAUGCAUUACGUAAUCUGACGUUUUUGUUUCUUAAGCAUUCACCACGCAAAAAGUUGUCUUGCUAGCUGCCAAAAACCAAAUUAACAUUGCUUCCAUUAUCCGAUUACAGUGAGUCACGUUGUCCCAGUGUGGUGUCAUUAAUCUGCUUAAUUUUAUGUAGUUUAUGUAUUAUUCACGAAGCAUAUAAAUUAAAAUUUAUAAUAAAAUUACAUUUUAUGUACAAUUAUUGUUUAAUACAUAAAACAUUACAUAUCAAAUUAUUAAAAAAAAAAAAAAGAGUUAAAAGCUCGUUUAAUUAAAUUAUUAUCCGUUUAGUAUCUGUAUGGAUUGUUAAUAUGUUCUACUUUCGUUCUUGAUUUAUGUCUGGUGUUAAUUUAUCUAUUGGGAGGAAUGUACAUUUUCAUUUUAUAUUCCUGAAGACAACUUUGAGUUGUAAGUAAGCAGUCCCUGCAAAUGAAUUCUAUGAUCAAACUAAAAGUCAGGAUGACGAAAUGAACUGCAUUAGAAACCUGAUAAAUUCUGUAACGUAUGUUAAAAAAAAAGGAAAGGCAUGUUCACACGUGAGAGAGAGAGAGAGAGAGGGGAAGCUCUCAAAUCGACCCGCAAAACCGGACCCAACCCCGCAAACCCGACCCGCCCACUGUUUCCGUUUCCGACCACCCCACCGGCCAAGGGAGGUAUCGAUCGAAAUACCUUGAGCCGCUGGUUAUUUUUCCCUCGUCAUUUCCAUCGGAAAAACAGCCAAAAAGCCACCGAUCGAGGCCGUUAAGAACCGCGGAAUCGCCGCCUCUGUUCGCCACGAUUUGGCUGGUUUCCGGCCACGCCAACGGCUGGUUUUUACUCCUCACACCACCACCUUUCAUUUCCGACUAUCCACAUUCACCGGCAGCCACCGAUUUGCUGCCGGCCAAUUGUUGAGGUGCUCACGGCUGUCGAGCUAGAUUCCGACGCCGUCGCCGCGUGUCAGAGCACAUCGACGCAACCGCUGGAUUCAGCAAGGCACGAACCUUCUAUCCCGACCUUUCCGGUCACCGUCGCAUGAAUUCCGGUCACCGUUGAAUUUGAGGGUAAUUUCAUAAAUUUUUAAUUUUGUGAGUAUUUCAAUAAUUUCUAAUUUGGAGGAUAAAAUUUGAGGAUAAUUUGAUAAAUUAUGAUUUCGAGGAUAAUUUGGUAACUUGUGAUUUGGAGAUUUCAGGGGCAAUUGAGAUUAUGUUUAGGUGUUUAUAAUGAGAAAUUUGAGGACAUUGAAAUUAUGAUUAUGACUUGAUUUU
Molecule: long non-coding RNA, 11924 nt
Filed under: Citrus maxima (pomelo)
Lineage: Eukaryota; Viridiplantae; Streptophyta; Magnoliopsida; Sapindales; Rutaceae
Description: long non-coding RNA (CMAX_LNC002518)
Source: RNAcentral